This 464-nucleotide ribosomal RNA is filed under the name uncultured bacterium. RNAcentral's name for it is "partial 16S ribosomal RNA". It matches the Rfam family "Bacterial small subunit ribosomal RNA", at positions 339 to 795 of the family's 1533-position model. The record is from RNAcentral.
CUACGGGCUGCAGCAGUGGGGAAUAUUGCACAAUGGGCGCAAGCCUGAUGCAGCCAUGCCGCGUGUAUGAAGAAGGCCUUCGGGUUGUAAAGUACUUUCAGCGGGGAGGAAGGGAGUAAAGUUAAUACCUUUGCUCAUUGACGUUACCCGCAGAAGAAGCACCGGCUAACUCCGUGCCAGCAGCCGCGGUAAUACGGAGGGUGCAAGCGUUAAUCGGAAUUACUGGGCGUAAAGCGCACGCAGGCGGUUUGUUAAGUCAGAUGUGAAAUUCCCGGGCUCAACCUGGGAACUGCAUCUGAUACUGGCAAGCUUGAGUCUCGUAGAGGGGGGUAGAAUUCCAGGUGUAGCGGUGAAAUGCGUAGAGAUCUGGAGGAAUACCGGUGGCGAAGGCGGCCCCCUGGACGAAGACUGACGCUCAGGUGCGAAAGCGUGGGGAGCAAACUGGAUUAGAUACCCCGGUAGUC